AGCCUUCGCUAAAGGAUCAGCCUAUGUCCUAUCAGCUUGUUGGUGAGGUAAUGGCUCACCAAGGCUAUGACGGGUAUCCGGCCUGAGAGGGUGAUCGGACACACUGGAACUGAGACACGGUCCAGACUCCUACGGGAGGCAGCAGUAGGGAAUAUUGCUCAAUGGGGGAAACCCUGAAGCAGCAACGCCGCGUGGAGGAUGAAGGUUUUAGGAUUGUAAACUCCUUUUGUAAGAGAAGAUUAUGACGGUAUCUUACGAAUAAGCACCGGCUAACUCCGUGCCAGCAGCCGCGGUAAUACGGAGGGUGCAAGCGUUACUCGGAAUCACUGGGCGUAAAGAGCGCGUAGGCGGGUGGUCAAGUCAGAUGUGAAAUCCUGUAGCUUAACUACAGAACUGCAUUUGAAACUGACCAUCUAGAGUAUGGGAGAGGUAGGUGGAAUUCUUGGUGUAGGGGUAAAAUCCGUAGAGAUCAAGAGGAAUACUCAUUGCGAAGGCGACCUGCUGGAACAUUACUGACGCUGAUGCGCGAAAGCGUGGGGAGCAAACAGGAUUAGAUACCCUGGUAGUCCACGCCCUAAACGAUGAAUGCUAGUUGUUGCCCUGCUUGUCAGGGCAGUAAUGCAGCUAACGCAUUAAGCAUUCCGCCUGGGGAGUACGGUCGCAAGAUUAAAACUCAAAGGAAUAGACGGGGACCCGCACAAGCGGUGGAGCAUGUGGUUUAAUUCGAAGAUACGCGAAGAACCUUACCUAGGCUUGACAUUGAUAGAAUCCGCUAGAGAUAGUGGAGUGCUGGCUUGCCAGAGCUUGAAAACAGGUGCUGCACGGCUGUCGUCAGCUCGUGUCGUGAGAUGUUGGGUUAAGUCCCGCAACGAGCGCAACCCUCGUCCUUAGUUGCUAGCAGCUCGGCUGAGCACUCUAAGGAGACUGCCUUCGUAAGGAGGAGGAAGGUGAGGACGACGUCAAGUCAUCAUGGCCCUUACGCCUAGGGCUACACACGUGCUACAAUGGGGCGCACAAAGAGGAGCAAUACCGCGAGGUGGAGCAAAUCUCAAAAACGUCUCUCAGUUCGGAUUGUAGUCUGCAACUCGACUACAUGAAGCUGGAAUCGCUAGUAAUCGUGAAUCAGCCAUGUCACGGUGAAUACGUUCCCGGGUCUUGUACUCACCGCCCGUCACACCAUGGGAGUUGUAUUCGCCUUAAGUCGGGAUACUAAAUUGGUUACCGCCCACGGCGGAUGCAGCGACUGGGGUGAAGUCGUAACAAGGUAACCGUAGGUGAACCUGCGGCUGGAWCACCUCCUU
RNAcentral lists this ribosomal RNA (1301 nucleotides) under Helicobacter bilis. RNAcentral's name for it is "16S ribosomal RNA". It matches the Rfam family "Bacterial small subunit ribosomal RNA", at positions 210 to 1532 of the family's 1533-position model. Lineage: Bacteria; Pseudomonadati; Campylobacterota; Epsilonproteobacteria; Campylobacterales; Helicobacteraceae. The record is from RNAcentral.